AUCUAAUUUUACUACUGCAUUGUCCUCAUGCAGGUUGUUGGUAUACUCCUUUGUUGUAUAAACUGCUGCUUCACUUCCUUGAGAGACCCCAAAGCCAAGCUGGUUUGACUGAAACAUCAUGGCCGCCUCUGCGAGAAUACUCCAGACAGCAGCUUUGGAAACGAGACAAAUCUGAACUUUCCAUCAUACCAAAUACCAUGUCAACAGAACUAGCAAUAAGUGAGAGCCGUGCACUGUCUCUUAGUGCUAUCCAACAGUGAUGCCAUUCUUCCACAUCAGUAUACCAUCAGCAUACUUUGGUGUGCACUCUUCAAAGAGUUUUUAUAAAAAUCAACUGCCCACAUUACAUAAUAAAUUCAGAGAAAAAUAAAAUGUAGUUUUAGUUUCAUUUUCUAUAUAGGAAACUUUUAAGAAUUAAUGUUUGACUGCUCUCAAAUACACUGUAAAAUAAUUUUCCUUAUCUCAAAUUUAUAUCACAAUAUAAAUUUCCUUUGUGAUAGACAUGAGUCCAGGUUCCCAUUAACAAGAUUCACACUGCUCAAAUUAUGCUUUGUGAUAUGCAACUAUCAGUAUGAAAAAUAAAACCUUAUAAAAAUGUAUAUCACAAGAAAAGCAUUCCACAUGCAUGCAGCUUGUGAUCAAGAUUAUAAAUUAAAUGUCAGUCCCCAAGACCACAUAUACUGGAAGACAAUCAAAUUAUAAAAUAAUGAAACACACUUCUAAUUUUUAGAUUGAUAACUAUCAUUCUUAAGAGCCAUUUAUUUUUUACUGUAAUUCACGACAAUGAUGGAUUAAUUUAUAAAAUUUAAUGUAAAAUUAUCAAAAUGCAAUCACAGUAUUAAAAUUUUAAACAUAAUGUCUUAUAAAUUGUAUUUAACAAUACAUUAUUGUUAAUCACAUUUACCAAAGCAUAACAAGGUGUCUAAAUAUUACUGAUUAAACAAUGAGAAAAUGAGUAGCAAAAUAGACAUUACUCAUUUAUUAUCAAUAAAAUAAAUCACUAUUUUAUAUCCAUUAAACAGCAUCACAAAUUUAGUGUAGGCCUGUGAACAGGGGUAAGUUACAAAAAAGAAAGAAAUGUCCUUUUAAGGUUUUAUUUAAUGUAGGAUCAUUGACUUGAAUAGUUGAACUAGUUACAGACAUAUACAUAUGUGUGGCAUCUAAGGAAUGACACUUUUAAGUGUUGACCAGAAAUGAUUAAUAAUUAUUAUGCCUAUGAUGUUAUGAUAAAACAUAUCAUGAGGAAUUUGUGAUUGCAAAAGUGGUAAAUAACUGAAUGUGGUAGAACUAGUUGUUGUUGUUAUAGCAGUCAUGCUAGCCUGGUAGUUGCUUACAAAGUACUAGUUACUAUAUUAAGAUUAACUCAAGUAGCAGCAGCAAAAGUAUUGAAAAUAGUAAUAAUGACAAGAGUUAUAAUAACUACAAUUUUAAUUAUUGCGGAGCAUUAUAAAUACAGUACUCGUGCAAGGUACACACAGCAACAGUUACUCAUAGACUAACACUAAAGGAAAUUGUGCCAUCCAACCACACAGAAUCUGCAAAAAUCGGUGAUACAACACUGUGCAUACCUCACAAUCACAAAGUGUCAAAAAAAUAAUAAUGAAAGGAAUCAGGGAAAAGAAGCAAGAGUAUGAAAAUUCAUAUAGUAAACUGUUGAAAAUGUAUGUCUCUCUAAGCACGUAAGGUAAAUCAGAUUUUCAGCAACAUCAAAUGAUCACAUAAUUUUUUGUGAUCCCGUUGUAUGUUGCACAUCCCUCUUUAAGCAUCUGUUUAGGUGCCAGUUCAAACAGAACUGCAGGAUAAUGUUAGACACUGAAUAAUGGAGCGCUGGAUAUCUACAAUAUUUUAUCACUUUUUUACAUACAGGCGCGCCCCACUUUACAGUACUUUGCUUUACGGUGCUUCACUAAUGCAGUGGUUUUCAACUGUACCCAUUCUUUAUUUAUUCAGAUUUCCUACAAUAAGCUAAGGAUGAAAAUAUUUUAAGGUAAGUAAUGUAUGUACUGUAUAUGUAUUUCAUAUUAUUAUUAUAAUCAAAAAGAAGCGCUAAACCACAAGGGCUAUACAGCGCUGCAGGGCAGGAAGGAAGCGAGGGUA
Molecule: non-coding RNA, 2097 nt
Organism: Cherax quadricarinatus
Lineage: Eukaryota; Metazoa; Arthropoda; Malacostraca; Decapoda; Parastacidae
Source: RefSeq, a predicted model, not a curated record